RNAcentral lists this transfer RNA (126 nucleotides) under Cratilla lineata. Its description in RNAcentral is "partial contains 16S ribosomal RNA and tRNA-Leu". The stretch from base 60 to 125 matches the Rfam family "tRNA". Rfam says of the family: Transfer RNA (tRNA) molecules are approximately 80 nucleotides in length. Their secondary structure includes four short double-helical elements and three loops (D, anti-codon, and T loops). Further hydrogen bonds mediate the characteristic L-shaped molecular structure. tRNAs have two regions of fundamental functional importance: the anti-codon, which is responsible for specific mRNA codon recognition, and the 3' end, to which the tRNAs corresponding amino acid is attached (by aminoacyl-tRNA synthetases). tRNAs cope with the degeneracy of the genetic code in two manners: having more than one tRNA (with a specific anti-codon) for a particular amino acid; and 'wobble' base-pairing, i.e. permitting non-standard base-pairing at the 3rd anti-codon position. The record is from RNAcentral. Lineage: Eukaryota; Metazoa; Arthropoda; Insecta; Odonata; Libellulidae.
AAUUCUUAGUACGAAAGGACCAGAAUUGUAAAAUAUUUUUUAUAAACUGAUUAAUAUUAACUAUUUUGGCAGAAAAGUGCCAUGAAUUUAGAAUUCAUAAAUGUAAGUUUGACUUACAGAUAGUAC